Neogale vison (American mink) is the source of this 107-nucleotide small nuclear RNA. The record is from Ensembl. NCBI's taxonomy places the organism in Eukaryota, Metazoa, Chordata, Mammalia, Carnivora, Mustelidae.
GUGCUCCCUUCAGCGGCACAUACACUGAAAUUGGAAUAGUACAGAGAAGACUGGCAUGGGCCCUGCGCAAGGACGACAUGCAAAUUCAGGAAGCAUUUAAUUUUUCU